This 1497-nucleotide ribosomal RNA is filed under the name Lacticaseibacillus paracasei. Its description in RNAcentral is "bacterial SSU rRNA". It matches the Rfam family "Bacterial small subunit ribosomal RNA". Lineage: Bacteria; Bacillati; Bacillota; Bacilli; Lactobacillales; Lactobacillaceae. The record is from RNAcentral.
GGCGUGCCUAAUACAUGCAAGUCGAACGAGUUCUCGUUGAUGAUCGGUGCUUGCACCGAGAUUCAACAUGGAACGAGUGGCGGACGGGUGAGUAACACGUGGGUAACCUGCCCUUAAGUGGGGGAUAACAUUUGGAAACAGAUGCUAAUACCGCAUAGAUCCAAGAACCGCAUGGUUCUUGGCUGAAAGAUGGCGUAAGCUAUCGCUUUUGGAUGGACCCGCGGCGUAUUAGCUAGUUGGUGAGGUAAUGGCUCACCAAGGCGAUGAUACGUAGCCGAACUGAGAGGUUGAUCGGCCACAUUGGGACUGAGACACGGCCCAAACUCCUACGGGAGGCAGCAGUAGGGAAUCUUCCACAAUGGACGCAAGUCUGAUGGAGCAACGCCGCGUGAGUGAAGAAGGCUUUCGGGUCGUAAAACUCUGUUGUUGGAGAAGAAUGGUCGGCAGAGUAACUGUUGUCGGCGUGACGGUAUCCAACCAGAAAGCCACGGCUAACUACGUGCCAGCAGCCGCGGUAAUACGUAGGUGGCAAGCGUUAUCCGGAUUUAUUGGGCGUAAAGCGAGCGCAGGCGGUUUUUUAAGUCUGAUGUGAAAGCCCUCGGCUUAACCGAGGAAGCGCAUCGGAAACUGGGAAACUUGAGUGCAGAAGAGGACAGUGGAACUCCAUGUGUAGCGGUGAAAUGCGUAGAUAUAUGGAAGAACACCAGUGGCGAAGGCGGCUGUCUGGUCUGUAACUGACGCUGAGGCUCGAAAGCAUGGGUAGCGAACAGGAUUAGAUACCCUGGUAGUCCAUGCCGUAAACGAUGAAUGCUAGGUGUUGGAGGGUUUCCGCCCUUCAGUGCCGCAGCUAACGCAUUAAGCAUUCCGCCUGGGGAGUACGACCGCAAGGUUGAAACUCAAAGGAAUUGACGGGGGCCCGCACAAGCGGUGGAGCAUGUGGUUUAAUUCGAAGCAACGCGAAGAACCUUACCAGGUCUUGACAUCUUUUGAUCACCUGAGAGAUCAGGUUUCCCCUUCGGGGGCAAAAUGACAGGUGGUGCAUGGUUGUCGUCAGCUCGUGUCGUGAGAUGUUGGGUUAAGUCCCGCAACGAGCGCAACCCUUAUGACUAGUUGCCAGCAUUUAGUUGGGCACUCUAGUAAGACUGCCGGUGACAAACCGGAGGAAGGUGGGGAUGACGUCAAAUCAUCAUGCCCCUUAUGACCUGGGCUACACACGUGCUACAAUGGAUGGUACAACGAGUUGCGAGACCGCGAGGUCAAGCUAAUCUCUUAAAGCCAUUCUCAGUUCGGACUGUAGGCUGCAACUCGCCUACACGAAGUCGGAAUCGCUAGUAAUCGCGGAUCAGCACGCCGCGGUGAAUACGUUCCCGGGCCUUGUACACACCGCCCGUCACACCAUGAGAGUUUGUAACACCCGAAGCCGGUGGCGUAACCCUUUUAGGGAGCGAGCCGUCUAAGGUGGGACAAAUGAUUAGGGUGAAGUCGUAACAAGGUGGU